This 605-nucleotide ribosomal RNA is filed under the name uncultured bacterium. Its description in RNAcentral is "bacterial SSU rRNA". It matches the Rfam family "Bacterial small subunit ribosomal RNA", at positions 8 to 609 of the family's 1533-position model. The record is from RNAcentral.
AGAGUUUGAUCCUGGCUCAGAUUGAACGCUGGCGGCAGGCCUAACACAUGCAAGUCGAGCGGUUGAAAGGAGCUUGCUCCUGGAUUCAGCGGCGGACGGGUGAGUAAUGCCUAGGAAUCUGCCUGGUAGUGGGGGACAACGUUUCGAAAGGAACGCUAAUACCGCAUACGUCCUACGGGAGAAAGCAGGGGACCUUCGGGCCUUGCGCUAUCAGAUGAGCCUAGGUCGGAUUAGCUAGUUGGUGAGGUAAUGGCUCACCAAGGCGACGAUCCGUAACUGGUCUGAGAGGAUGAUCAGUCACACUGGAACUGAGACACGGUCCAGACUCCUACGGGAGGCAGCAGUGGGGAAUAUUGGACAAUGGGCGAAAGCCUGAUCCAGCUAUGCCGCGUGUGUGAAGAAGGUCUUCGGAUUGUAAAGCACUUUAAGUUGGGAGGAAGGGUUGUAGAUUAAUACUCUGCAAUUUUGACGUUACCGACAGAAUAAGCACCGGCUAACUCUGUGCCAGCAGCCGCGGUAAUACAGAGGGUGCAAGCGUUAAUCGGAAUUACUGGGCGUAAAGCGCGCGUAGGUGGUUUGUUAAGUUGGAUGUGAAAUCCCGGGCU